GACGAACGCUGGCGGCGUGCUUAACACAUGCAAGUCGAACGGAAAGGCCCUGCUUUUGUGGGGUGCUCGAGUGGCGAACGGGUGAGUAACACGUGAGUAACCUGCCCUUGACUUUGGGAUAACUUCAGGAAACUGGAGCUAAUACCGGAUAGGAGCUCCUGCUGCAUGGUGGGGGUUGGAAAGUUUCGGCGGUUGGGGAUGGACUCGCGGCUUAUCAGCUUGUUGGUGGGGUAGUGGCUUACCAAGGCUUUGACGGGUAGCCGGCCUGAGAGGGUGACCGGCCACAUUGGGACUGAGAUACGGCCCAGACUCCUACGGGAGGCAGCAGUGGGGAAUAUUGCACAAUGGGCGGAAGCCUGAUGCAGCAACGCCGCGUGCGGGAUGACGGCCUUCGGGUUGUAAACCGCUUUCGCCUGUGACGAAGCGUGAGUGACGGUAAUGGGUAAAGAAGCACCGGCUAACUACGCG
Molecule: ribosomal RNA, 468 nt
Filed under: uncultured bacterium
Lineage: Bacteria
Description: partial 16S ribosomal RNA
Rfam family: Bacterial small subunit ribosomal RNA
Source: RNAcentral